This 506-nucleotide ribosomal RNA is filed under the name uncultured bacterium. Its description in RNAcentral is "partial 16S ribosomal RNA". It matches the Rfam family "Bacterial small subunit ribosomal RNA", at positions 30 to 523 of the family's 1533-position model. The record is from RNAcentral.
AUUGAACGCUGGCGGCAGGCUUAACACAUGCAAGUCGAGCGGUAACAGAGAGAAGCUUGCUUCUCUGCUGACGAGCGGCGGACGGGUGAGUAAUGCCUAGGAAUCUGCCUAGUAGUGGGGGAUAACUUGCCGAAAGGUAAGCUAAUACCGCAUACGUCCUACGGGAGAAAGGAGGGGACCUUCGGGCCUUUCGCUAUUAGAUGAGCCUAGGUCGGAUUAGUUAGUUGGUGAGGUAAUGGCUCACCAAGACCGCGAUCCGUAACUGGUCUGAGAGGAUGAUCAGUCAAACUGGAACUGAGACACGGUCCAGACUCCUACGGGAGGCAGCAGUGGGGAAUAUUGGACAAUGGGGGGAACCCUGAUCCAGCCAUGCCGCGUGUGUGAAGAAGGUCUUAGGAUUGUAAAGCACUUUAAGUUGGGAGGAAGAGCAGUUGACUAAUAUUUGACUGUUUUGACGUUACCGACAGAAUAAGCACCGGCUAACUUCGUGCCAGCAGCCGCCGUAA